Molecule: unclassified non-coding RNA, 322 nt
Filed under: Tomentella sp.
Lineage: Eukaryota; Fungi; Basidiomycota; Agaricomycetes; Thelephorales; Thelephoraceae
Description: partial contains 5.8S ribosomal RNA, internal transcribed spacer 2, and large subunit ribosomal RNA
Source: RNAcentral
AACGCACCUUGCGCUCCCUGGUCAUUCCGGGGAGCAUGCCUGUUUGAGUGUCAUAAUACUCUCAACCCCUGGGGUCUUUUAAACGGACCACCUCGGGCUUGGAUCAUGGACGCUGCCGGCCCCCCUCGGGGGUGUGGCUCGUCUGAAAUACAUGAGCUGACCUGUCUGCGAACAGCACGGUUUGACUCGGCGUAAUAAAUCCAUUUUUCGUCGGGGACACCCUUCGCGGGGUGGCCGGGCUCGCGGUCUUCGGGUUGCUUACAAUCGAAUAGUCCCAUCUAUUUUAGACCUCAAAUCAGGUAGGAUUACCCGCUGAACUUAA